CGGAUUGUAGUCUGCAACUCGACUACAUGAAGCUGGAAUCGCUAGUAAUCGCGAAUCAGAAUGUCGCGGUGAAUACGUUCCCGGGUCUUGUACACACCGCCCGUCACACCAUGGGAGUUGGUAACGCCCGAAGUCAGUGACCCAACCUUAGGGAGGGAGCUGCCGAAGGCGGGACUGAUAACUGGGGUGAAGUCGUAACAAGGUAGC
Molecule: ribosomal RNA, 207 nt
Filed under: uncultured bacterium
Lineage: Bacteria
Description: partial 16S ribosomal RNA
Rfam family: Bacterial small subunit ribosomal RNA
Source: RNAcentral